This 460-nucleotide ribosomal RNA is filed under the name uncultured bacterium. RNAcentral's name for it is "partial 16S ribosomal RNA". It matches the Rfam family "Bacterial small subunit ribosomal RNA", at positions 338 to 795 of the family's 1533-position model. The record is from RNAcentral.
CCUACGGGCGGCAGCAGUGAGGAGUAUUGGUCAAUGGACGCUAGUCUGAACCAGCCAAGUAGCGUGAAGGAUGACUGCCCUAUGGGUUGUAAACUUCUUUUAUAAAGGAAUAAAGCGAAGCACGUAUACCUUUUUGCAUGUACUUUAUGAAUAAGGAUCGACUAACUCCGUGCCAGCAGCCGCGGUAAUACGGAGGAUCCGAGCGUUAUCCGGAUUUAUUGGGUUUAAAGGGAGCGUAGACGGGUUGUUAAGUCAGUUGUGAAAGUUUGCGGCUCAACCGUAAAAUUGCAAUUGAUACUGGCAGUCUUGAGUACAGUUGAGGUAGGCGGAAUUCGUGGUGUAGCGGUGAAAUGCUUAGAUAUCACGAAGAACCCCGAUUGCGAAGGCAGCUUACUAAACUGUGACUGACACUGAUGCUCGAAAGUGUGGGUAUCAAACAGGAUUAGAUACCCGAGUAGUC